UCUGGCCAGGGCCUCAGUUUCUCAAUCAGUAAGGAAGAGGUGUUAAUAAUGUUAUUAAUCUAUCAACAUUCUUCUUCUCAUGAACUUGGUAUAUUGGUACCUUUUUUCAUAUACGGUGCUUUCGGGAAGUUUCCAGACCCCUUUUCACUUUUCCAAAUUUGGUUACAUUACAGCCUUAUUCUAAAAUUGAUUAAAUAAAACAUUUUUCUUCAUCAAUCUACACACAAUACCCCAUAAUGACAAAGCAAAAGCAGGUUUUUAGAAAUUUUUGCAAAUGUAUACAAAAUGAAAACAAAUACCUUAUUUACUCAAGUAUUCAGACCGAUUGCUAUAAGACUCGAAAUUGAACUCCGGUGCAUCCUGUUUCCAUUGAUCAUCCUUGAGAUGUUUCUUCAACUUGAUGGGAGUCCACCUGUGGUAAAUUCAAUUUAUUGGACAUGAUUUGGAAAGGCACACUUGUCUAUAUAAGGUCCCACAGUUGACAGUGCAUGUCAUAGCAAAAACCAAGCUGUGAGGUCGAAAUAAUUGUAGAUAGAGCUCCGAGACAGGAUUGUGUCGAGGGGGAAGGGAACCAAAACAUUUCUGCAGCAUUGAAUGUCCUCAAGAACACAGUGGCCUCCAUAAUUCUUAAAUGGAAGAAGUUUGGAACCACCAAGACUCCCCCUAGAGCUGGCUGCCCAGCCAAUCUGAGCAAUCUGGGGAGAAGGGCCUUGGUCAGGGAGGUGACCAAUAACCCAAUGGUCACUCUGAAAGUGCUCCGGAGUUCAUCUGUGGAGAUGAGAGAACCUUCCAGAAGGACAACCAUCCCUGCAGCACUCCACCCAUCAGGCCUUUAUGGUAGAGUGGCCAGAUGGAAGCCACUCCUUAGUAAAAGGCACAUGACAGCCCGCUUGGAGUUUGCCAAAAGGAACCUAAAGGACUCUCAGACCAUUAAAAACAAGAUUCUCUUGUCUGAUGAAACCAAGAUUUAAAAAAAAUUGGCCUGAAUGCCAAGCAUCAUGUCUGGAAGUAACCCGGCACCAUCCCUACGGUGAAGCGUGGUGGCAGCAUCAUGUCUGGAGGUAACCCGGCACCAUCCCUACGGUGAAGCGUGGUGGCAGCAUCAUGUCUGGAGGUAACCCGGCACCAUCCCUACGGUGAAGCGUGGUGGCAGCAUCAUGUCUGGAAGUAACCCGGCACCAUCCCUACGGUGAAGCGUGGUGGCAGCAUCAUGUCUGGAGGUAACCCGGCACCAUCCCUACGGUGAAGCGUGGUGGCAGCAUCAUGUCUGGAGGUAACCCGGCACCAUCCCUACGGUGAAGCGUGGUGGCAGCAUCAUGUCUGGAGGUAACCCGGCACCAUCCCUACGGUGAAGCGUGGUGGCAGCAUCAUGUCUGGAGGUAACCCGGCACCAUCCCUACGGUGAAGCGUGGUGGCAGCAUCAUGUCUGGAGGUAACCCGGCACCAUCCCUACGGUGAAGCGUGGUGGCAGCAUCAUGUCUGGAGGUAACCCGGCACCAUCCCUACGGUGAAGCGUGGUGGCAGCAUCAUGUCUGGAGGUAACCCGGCACCAUCCCUACGGUGAAGCGUGGUGGCAGCAUCAUGUCUGGAGGUAACCCGGCACCAUCCCUACGGUGAAGCGUGGUGGCAGCAUCAUGUCUGGAGGUAACCCGGCACCAUCCCUACGGUGAAGCGUGGUGGCAGCAUCAUGUCUGGAGGUAACCCGGCACCAUCCCUACGGUGAAGCGUGGUGGCAGCAUCAUGUCUGGAAGUAACCCGGCACCAUCCCUACGGUGAAGCGUGGUGGCAGCAUCAUGUCUGGAGGUAACCCGGCACCAUCCCUACGGUGAAGCGUGGUGGCAGCAUCAUGUCUGGAGGUAACCCGGCACCAUCCCUACGGUGAAGCGUGGUGGCAGCAUCAUGUCUGGAGGUAACCCGGCACCAUCCCUACGGUGAAACGUGGUGGCAGCAUCAUGCUGUGUGGAUGUUUUUCAGCGGCAGGGACUUGGACACUAGUCAAGAUCGAGGGAAAGAUGAACGGAGCAAAGUACAGAGAGAUCCUUGAUGAAAACCUGCUCCAGAGCAAUCUGGACCACAGGUUGGGGUGAAGGUUCACCUUCCAACAGGACAAUGACACUAAGCACACAGCCAAGGCAACGCAGGAGUGGCUUCGGAUAAGUCUAUGAAUGUCCCUGAGUGACCCAGCCAGAGCCCACACUUGAACCCGAUCAAACAUCUCUGGAGAAACCUGAAAAUAGCUGUGCAGCAACGCUCCACAUCCAACCUGACAGAGCUUGACAGGAUCUGCAGAGAAGAAUGGGAGAAACUCCGCAAAUACAGGUGUGUCAAGCUUGUAGCGUCAUAUCUAAGAAGACUUGAGGCUGUAAUUGCUGCCAAAAGUGCUUCAGCAAAGUACUGAGUAAAAGGUCUGAAUACUUGUAAAUUUGGUAUUUCAGUUUUUUUGCUGUCUUUAUGGGGUGUUGCGUGCAUAUGAGGGAGAAAAAAACAAUUUAACAAUUUAAUAAUAAGGCUGUAACGUAACAAAAUGUGGAAAAAGUCAAGGGGUCUGAAUACUUUCCAAAUGCACUGUAUAUGUACAGUUGGAGGUAAAAAGGUCUUAUAUCCCCUCUGACCACUGUGUUGACUGU
Oncorhynchus keta (chum salmon) is the source of this 2627-nucleotide long non-coding RNA. RefSeq lists it as uncharacterized. The record is from RefSeq and is a predicted model, not a curated record. NCBI's taxonomy places the organism in Eukaryota, Metazoa, Chordata, Actinopteri, Salmoniformes, Salmonidae. The transcript has 4 exons.